AUGUGGAGUAGAAACGGUCACUGGUCCCAACAAACGAAACCGUCGCCAAAUAUGAAAGCUUCCAUGUCUAUGAUUCGAUAUACCGAUUAAAUAUUCCUCAAACACUUGAACCGGCUGAUGAAUGUUGGGAUCGCUACUUCAUUCCUCUCUCGUUAAUUAUGUCUGUGUUUGCUAAAAAAAAUGUCGCGCCACGCCACCAAGCAAUCACCGCCAACGCCGCCUGUAAUAUCGAACCGGUGUCACAGACCACCAAUCCUCUCUUCCACUCUCCGUUCUAGUCUGGAGACGCGCGGCGUAAAAUGGCAACACCGUCUUGUCUUUGGUCUCUGAUCUUGAUGCCAAGGUUGAUGGAUUAUGUGCUGAAAUCGGAUAGGAAGUCUAGAAACCCACCAAAUAAAAUCUGAGUUGUC
This 410-nucleotide long non-coding RNA is filed under the name Helianthus annuus (common sunflower). The record is from RNAcentral. Lineage: Eukaryota; Viridiplantae; Streptophyta; Magnoliopsida; Asterales; Asteraceae.